Molecule: ribosomal RNA, 253 nt
Filed under: uncultured bacterium
Lineage: Bacteria
Description: partial 16S ribosomal RNA
Rfam family: Bacterial small subunit ribosomal RNA
Source: RNAcentral
UACGAAGGGUGCAAGCGUUACUCGGAAUUACUGGGCGUAAAGCGUGCGUAGGCGGUUCGUUAAGUCUGAUGUGAAAGCCCUGGGCUCAACCUGGGAAUGGCAUUGGAAACUGGCGACCUAGAGUGCGGUAGAGGGUAGUGGAAUUCCCGGUGUAGCAGUGAAAUGCGUAGAGAUCGGGAGGAACAUCUGUGGCGAAGGCGACUGCCUGGACCGGCACUGACACUGAGGCACGAAAGCGUGGGGAGCAAACAGG